AGAGUUUGAUCAUGGCUCAGAUUGAACGCUGGCGGCAGGCCUAACACAUGCAAGUCGAACGGUAGCACGGAGAGCUUGCUCUCGGGUGACGAGUGGCGGACGGGUGAGUAAUGUCUGGGAAACUGCCUGAUGGAGGGGGAUAACUACUGGAAACGGUAGCUAAUACCGCAUAACGUCGCAAGACCAAAGAGGGGGACCUUCGGGCCUCUUGCCAUCAGAUGUGCCCAGAUGGGAUUAGCUAGUAGGUGGGGUAACGGCUUACCUAGGCGACGAUCCCUAGCUGGUCUGAGAGGAUGACCAGCCACACUGGAACUGAGACACGGUCCAGACUCCUACGGGAGGCAGCAGUGGGGAAUAUUGCACAAUGGGCGCAAGCCUGAUGCAGCCAUGCCGCGUGUAUGAAGAAGGCCUUCGGGUUGUAAAGUACUUUCAGCGGGGAGGAAGGUGUUGUGGUUAAUAACCACAGCAAUUGACGUUACCCGCAGAAGAAGCACCGGCUAACUCCGUGCCAGCAGCCGCGGUAAUACGGAGGGUGCAAGCGUUAAUCGGAAUUACUGGGCGUAAAGCGCACGCAGGCGGUCUGUCAAGUCGGAUGUGAAAUCCCCGGGCUCAACCUGGGAACUGCAUUCGAAACUGGCAGGCUGGAGUCUUGUAGAGGGGGGUAGAAUUCCAGGUGUGGCGGUGAAAUGCGUAGAGAUCUGGAGGAAUACCGGUGGCGAAGGCGGCCCCCUGGACAAAGACUGACGCUCAGGUGCGAAAGCGUGGGGA
This 768-nucleotide ribosomal RNA is filed under the name uncultured bacterium. RNAcentral describes it as "bacterial SSU rRNA". It matches the Rfam family "Bacterial small subunit ribosomal RNA", at positions 8 to 767 of the family's 1533-position model. The record is from RNAcentral.